UAAGGAAUAUUGGGCAAUGGAGGCAACUCUGACCCAGCCAUGCCGCGUGCAGGAAGACGGCCCUACGGGUUGUAAACUUCUUUUAAUAGGGAGUAAUGUUAGUUACGAGUCACUAAUUGCAAGUAUCUAUAGAAUAAGGAUCGGCUACCUCCGUGCCAGCAGCCGCGGUAAUACGGAGGAUCCAAGCGUUAUCCGGAUUUAUUGGGUUUAAAGGGUGCGCAGGCGGACUAAUAAGUCAGUGGUGAAAUCUACAUGCUUAACAUGUAAUGUGCCAUUGAUACUGUUAGACUAGUAUGCAAAUGAGGU
RNAcentral lists this ribosomal RNA (306 nucleotides) under uncultured prokaryote. RNAcentral describes it as "bacterial SSU rRNA". It matches the Rfam family "Bacterial small subunit ribosomal RNA", at positions 355 to 658 of the family's 1533-position model. The record is from RNAcentral.